This 582-nucleotide long non-coding RNA is filed under the name Bos taurus (domestic cattle). RNAcentral's name for it is "long non-coding RNA NONBTAT019188". Lineage: Eukaryota; Metazoa; Chordata; Mammalia; Artiodactyla; Bovidae. The record is from RNAcentral.
ACCAAGAGUUUUAUUGUAAGAAAUACAAAAGAUAUGACAAAUAUACAAACUAUUGUCUCUUUUUGCCUCAAUUCAGCUUGUGCAUAAGUGAAAACAAUGAACUGGACAAUGACAUUUCAACACCAAUUCUUAAAAAACAAUGAAUUCCAUUACCUGACAAUAAAUACCUAAAUUUGCAUUCUAGCACCCAGUAAGACAUCCAGUUUCCAAAGGAUUCUUGAUCUGUAACCCUCUGAAUUUUCCGACACAUUCCAUCGCUUCAGUCACCACUGGUAGUUCCUCUCCAAACAAGUCUUAAGAGUAAGAGCUAAGAGACCUACCUUUGCCCUCAGCAACCCGGGUCAUCAUGCACCACUUACUUGAGCUCAUUUGGAACAGAUUGCUAGCAACGGGGGUAUUUAAUGUAAGUUUUGGUGGUCCUUGGAUUCCAUAUCUCACAUGACACAAAUACCUACUUUUCUAUUUUCCUCUUCCGGAAGGAAGAGUCUAGUUAAACUGCCCUAUAUUUUCAUCUAGCUAAAAGGAAGGAAGCAAAAUCACUCAGCUCAGGGCACUAGGAGGAGGGUAAUUUUACAGAUUGGC